RNAcentral lists this ribosomal RNA (301 nucleotides) under uncultured bacterium. RNAcentral's name for it is "partial 16S ribosomal RNA". It matches the Rfam family "Bacterial small subunit ribosomal RNA", at positions 509 to 808 of the family's 1533-position model. The record is from RNAcentral.
CAGUCGCCGCGGGAAUACGUAGGUGGCGAGCGUUGUCCGGAAUUAUUGGGCGUAAAGGGAGCGCAGGCGGACAUAUAAGUCCAUCUUAAAAGUGCGGGGCUCAACCCCGUGAGGGGAUGGAAACUGUAUGCCUUGAGUGCAGGAGAGGAAAGCGGAAUUCCCAGUGUAGCGGUGAAAUGCGUAGAUAUUAGGAAGAACACCAGUGGCGAAGGCGACUUUCUGGACGAAAACUGACGCUGAGGCGCGAAAGCCAGGGGAGCGAACGGGAUUAGAUACCCCAGUAGUCCCUGUCUCUUAUACC